RNAcentral lists this unclassified non-coding RNA (354 nucleotides) under Hevea brasiliensis (rubber tree). The record is from RNAcentral. Lineage: Eukaryota; Viridiplantae; Streptophyta; Magnoliopsida; Malpighiales; Euphorbiaceae.
AAAUAGUUGGUCUAUAAUUGCAUCAGGAUAUAUGGAUAAGCAGAAUAUGGAAAAAGCUUUUCAAUGCAUGAAAGAAGCACUAACUUUACAGGCAGAAAAUAAAGGGUGGAGGCCCAAACCUACACUGAUUUCUAGCAUAUUGAGUUGGCUUGCUGAUAAUGGGGAUGCUGAAGACGUAGAAGCAUUUGUGAGCUCAUUGGAGAAUAAGGUUCCAAAAGAUAGGGAACUUUAUCAUACUCUAGUUAAGGCCUAUGUCAGAGGUGGCAAACAGGUCAAUGGUCUUUUGGAGAGCAUGAAGGCUGAUAAAAUAGAUGUAGAUGAGGAAACAAAGACGAUUCUUAGCUUAAGACAGCA